UCCGGUUUGGCACCGGCAGUCUUCCCAGAGUCCCCGCCAUGACGCGCUGGUAACUGAGAACAGGGGUUGCGCUCGUUGCGGGACUUAACCCAACAUCUCACGACACGGGCUGACGACAGCCAUGCACCACCUGUGCACUGGCCCCGAAGGGCUGCCGUAUUUCUACGACAUUCCAGUGCAUGUCAAGCCUUGGUAAGGUUCUUCGCGUUGCGUCGAAUUAAACCACAUGCUCCGCUGCUUGUGCGGGUCCCCGUCAAUUCCUUUGAGUUUUAGCCUUGCGGCCGUACUCCCCAGGCGGCAGACUUCCCGCGUUGGCUCCGGCACGGAUCCCGUCGAUAGGGACCCACACCUAGCACCCAUCGUUUACGGCGUGGACUAC
RNAcentral lists this unclassified non-coding RNA (379 nucleotides) under uncultured Gaiellales bacterium. Its description in RNAcentral is "contains 16S-23S intergenic spacer region". The record is from RNAcentral. Lineage: Bacteria; Bacillati; Actinomycetota; Thermoleophilia; Gaiellales.